RNAcentral lists this ribosomal RNA (436 nucleotides) under Macaca fascicularis (crab-eating macaque). Its description in RNAcentral is "partial 12S ribosomal RNA". It matches the Rfam family "Bacterial small subunit ribosomal RNA", at positions 508 to 1033 of the family's 1533-position model. The record is from RNAcentral. Lineage: Eukaryota; Metazoa; Chordata; Mammalia; Primates; Cercopithecidae.
CCAGCCACCGCGGUUACACGAUUAACCCCAGCUAAUAGGGAUCGGCGUAGAGGGUGUUUAAGAUCUAACAUAAUAAAGCUAAACUCCACCUAAACUGUAAAACCCUAGCUAAUGUAAAAUAAACUACGAAAGUGGCUUUAAAGCUUCUGAACACACAAUAGCCAAGACCCAAACUGGGAUUAGACACCCCACUAUGCUUGGCCCUAAACCUCAGUAGUUAGAUAACAAAACUACUCGCCAGAAUACUACAAGCAACAGCUUAAAACUCAAAGGACUUGGCGGUGCUUUACAUCCCCCUAGAGGAGCCUGUUCCGUAAUCGAUAAACCCCGAUCCACCCUACCCUCUCUUGCUCAGCCUAUAUACCGCCAUCUUCAGCAAACCAUAAUGAGGGCCACAAAGUGAGCGCAAACGCCGUCGCCGCGAAUACGUUAGGUC